RNAcentral lists this long non-coding RNA (424 nucleotides) under Elaeis guineensis (African oil palm). RNAcentral describes it as "long non-coding RNA (EGUI_LNC064161)". The record is from RNAcentral. Lineage: Eukaryota; Viridiplantae; Streptophyta; Magnoliopsida; Arecales; Arecaceae.
CUUGACCAAAAUAAUCAUAGAACACCUCAGAGUUCAACUGUCAACUCUGAUCAGGUUGUCCACAUUGUAUUUCAAAAUAUCAAAUCUAUCUGAUGAAUUAUCCCGGUCAAGAUUUUGCUAAAUUAAAAUACAGUGACUCAUUCUUCUCCAACUCUUAGAGUGGUCAAUCCCAUCUCGAUCACACUCUGACUUCGCAAGUACUUGACUAUGUGCAAAAGCCUUCCGUCACUAAAUUAGAAAUUCAGUUAGUUCAGUACCAAAGCAUAGUGAGUUACUUACAAGUCACGGAGGCGAUCUUAGGUCUAAGGGAUACUUAUACCUAUAUCCUAUCAGAGACAUUCUCGAUAGCAGAAUACUCUAGAGUUGGUCACUUUCAAUGAUGAUGUAUCCUUAUAUCUCACCUGUAUGCCAUACCAGUGUCUCC